Molecule: ribosomal RNA, 640 nt
Filed under: Candidatus Berkelbacteria bacterium
Lineage: Bacteria; Candidatus Berkelbacteria
Description: bacterial SSU rRNA
Rfam family: Bacterial small subunit ribosomal RNA
Source: RNAcentral
GGCCGAUACUGACGCUGAGGAACGAAAGCGUGCGGAGCGAACAGGAUUAGAUACCCUGGUAGUCCACGCCGUAAACGUUGCAAACAAGGAGUUCGGAGUAUCGACCCUCUGUGCACCGAAGCUAACGCGUGAAGUUUGCCGCCUGGGAAGUACGGCCGAAAGGCUAAAACUCAAAGGAAUUGAGGGGGGCUCGCACAAUCGGUGGAGCAUGUGGUUUAAUUCGAUACUGACCGGAAAACCUUACCUAGGUUUGACAUCUCCGGAACCCGCCAGAAACGGUGGGGUGCCUUCGGGAGCCGGAUGACAGAUGAUGCACGGUCGUCGUCAGCUCGUGUCGUGAGAUGUACGGUUUAGUCCGCAAACGAGCGCAACCCUUGUCCUGUGUUGCAUUUCACAGGAGACUGCCUCGUUCAACGGGGAGGAAGGCGAGGAUGACGCCAGAUCAGCGUGUCUCUUACACCUAGGGCGACACACGUGCUACAAUGGCAGCUACAACGGGUCGCAAGGCCGCAAGGCGGAGCUAAUCCCUAAAAGCUGUCCCAGUUCGGAUUGGAGUCUGCAACUCGACUCCAUGAAGUCGGAAUCGCUAGUAAACGCGGAUCAGCCAUGCCGCGUUGAAUACGUUCUCGAGCCUUGUACA